UCCAGAUGCUUGGGGCCAGAUGCAGGUCCCAAUUCCAGAGGCUGGAACCUUGGGGUUUUAGGGGCCUAUGGAUGACAGGAUUCAAGGGGCAGCAGGUCUCUGAGGUCCGACAAGUGGGGAUGGGGGAAUCAGGUGUAGAGGCAACUUGGGGUUCAUCAGACUAGAGAGGUUUGAAUCCAAAGAAAUCUGGGGUCUGAGGGUGCUGGGGUCUUGGGGCACCUCGAAUCUGAACGCCUCUGGUAUGGAGGGAUGAAGGUCUUGGAUCAGGAACAAUCCCAAUGUUGUAGGGUCUUGAGCCUUGCAUUUGGGGGUCAGUGGCACCUUUGGGGUAUUGGAUCCAGUGCUCCUAAAGUACCUUAGGGUCACUCAAGGGCUGAGGGCCAAGGGCAUCAGAGGUCUGGGUCACCAUGAGCAUCCCCUCUUCUGGGAGCUGGACUCCCAGCCCUUAAGGGGUUGGGAAUCUGUGGGUAGAAAGAAGCUGAAGAUUCCAGGACAUUUGGGGUCUCAAAAUCCAGGUCCAGGAGGGACUGCAAGAGAGGGCUAUUUGAGAACUCGAGACCAGUAUCUCGGGUCCUGAGGUGUUGGUGGCCUUCAGUCGCACAUCUGAGGACCCCAGGCACCUCUGAGUCCUAUAAAUGAUAUCCAAAGCUCCUGAGAACCCUGGCUUGGGGGUGGGUGGACCUAUGGAGGUCUUUGAUCCCUGGCUUCCAGAGCAUCUUGGUGUCUGAUAUCUGGAUCUUGGGGGCUCUGGGAUGGGUCUCCCAAGUCAUUUUGGUAAGAGAACAGCUCGUGUUUCAGUAUAUCCGAGCACUCAGUGCAUCUUAAGAGUCUGGGGUCCCAGGGUGUCUGGGAGUUCCCUGGACAUCUUAGACUUCAGUGUUCCCGGACUGGAGGCCAGGUCUGUGGGCACUAAGUCGUGGGUAGAUUUGAGGGGCAGCAUCUGGAGAUUCCAGAGCAUAACAGAGUUUCAAACUCUGUUUGAAACUUUCUCAGGGGUCCUGCUGUCUCAGGGGUCCUGGGACUAUGAGAAUGUCUCAGAUGUGGGGGCACCAGGUCUUAGGUGAAUAUUCAGGAACUGUUUGUGGGUGACUCCAGGUCCUAUGGUCUCAAGAUCUGAUCUGGGAGUUGAAUAAAGGCAGAGCCAGUUAUGGGCAAGUCCUGACUAAUUGUGGGGCUGUAAUCUGAGGGACAUGGUGCCAGGCGUGACCGGGUUCUAGGUUGUUCAUUUCAACAGGGACCUGCCCUUUUCGGGAUCUAUGUGCUCCCUGGCCUUUCUGAGAUGCAAAGUAUGGGGACGCCUGGAGCCUCCUCGUGGGGUGUGGGGGUGGGGGAACGCCAGAACUCAGGACGCCUGGGACUUCUUAGACAGACACCCCAAUGAAGCUGGGGCUGGGGUCUCUCAGUCCUAGGUUUGGGUUUUAGGUCCGAACGGAGUCCGGGGUCCUGGACCCUCAAUUUUGGGUCCUCGGGCCGGCUAGGGGACCCACCAGGCCGUCCUCACCGCGCAGCCUCCUCGUGGCGACCCCCGCAGCCGGCGCAGCCGCAUCGCGCUGCGACCCAGUGGCACGCGCGCAGGGGCGCGUAGCAGCAGAGGCAGGGCACUGCCAGGGAGAGCCGGGGGGCGCUGGGGGCGCAGCCUCGGUC
Molecule: long non-coding RNA, 1644 nt
Filed under: Homo sapiens (human)
Lineage: Eukaryota; Metazoa; Chordata; Mammalia; Primates; Hominidae
Description: HSALNT0259584
Source: RNAcentral